CCGAUGUCGCCAAUGCCCUGCUGCCUUUUCGCAUUUUCGCAUUCCUUGUCUCCAUUUCCUUUCUUGGACAGUCUUUCACCUUAUACUCCAUUGAUUCACACAUAACACAUUUACUAUACCUUCUUGGAUUGGGACAUUUAGGAAAGAUAUAUAUCCCUCCUGUCCUUACUUUCUAUACACGAACUUUUCCUUUUAAUCACAUUCCCGGCUUAUCUCCGGUAUUAUUAAG
This 229-nucleotide long non-coding RNA is filed under the name Panax ginseng (ginseng). RNAcentral describes it as "long non-coding RNA (PGIN_LNC010411)". Lineage: Eukaryota; Viridiplantae; Streptophyta; Magnoliopsida; Apiales; Araliaceae. The record is from RNAcentral.